GCUUAACGCGAAGAACCUUACCAGGGCUUGACAGUUAGUGAAUGAUGCAGAGAUGUAUCAGUGAGCAAUCACACGAAACUAGGUGCUGCAUGGCUGUCGUUAGCUCGUGCCGUGAGGUGUUGGGUUGAGUCCCGCAACGAGCGCAACCCUCGUCCUGUGUUACCAGCGAGUAAAGUCGGGGACUCACAGGAGACCGCCGGUGUAAGCCGGAGGAAGGUGAGGAUGACGUCAAGCCAGCAUGGCAGUUACGCCUGGGGCUUCACACAUGCUACAAUGGGCGAAACAAAGGGCAGCAAUACCGCGAGGUGGAGCAAAUCCCAAAAAUACGCCCCCAGUUCAGAUUACAGUCUGCAACUCGACUGUAUGAAGGCGGAAUCGCUAGUAAACGCAGGUCAGCUAUACUGCGUUGAAUACGUUCCCGGGUCUUGUACACACCG
RNAcentral lists this ribosomal RNA (437 nucleotides) under uncultured bacterium. RNAcentral's name for it is "bacterial SSU rRNA". It matches the Rfam family "Bacterial small subunit ribosomal RNA", at positions 954 to 1392 of the family's 1533-position model. The record is from RNAcentral.